UGGGGAAUAUUGCACAAUGGGCGAAAGCCUGAUGCAGCGACGCCGCGUGAGGGAUGACGGCCUUCGGGUUGUAAACCUCUUUCAGCAGGGAAGAAGCGAAAAGUGACGGUACCUGCAGAAGAAGCGCCGGCUAACUACGUGCCAGCAGCCGCGGUAAUACGUAGGGCGCAAGCGUUGUCCGGAAUUAUUGGGCGUAAAGAGCUCGUAGGCGGUUAGUCGCGUCUGCUGUGAAAACUCGAGGCUCAACCUCGGGCUUGCAGUGGGUACGGGCUGACUAGAGUGCGGUAGGGGUGACUGGAAUUCCUGGUGUAGCGGUGGAAUGCGCAGAUAUCAGGAGGAACACCGAUGGCGAAGGCAGGUCACUGGGCCGCAACUGACGCUGAGGAGCGGAAAGCAUGGGGAGCGAACAGGAUUAGAUAGCCCUGGUAGUCCAUGCCGUAAACGUUGGGCACUAGGU
This 457-nucleotide ribosomal RNA is filed under the name uncultured bacterium. RNAcentral's name for it is "partial 16S ribosomal RNA". It matches the Rfam family "Bacterial small subunit ribosomal RNA", at positions 355 to 821 of the family's 1533-position model. The record is from RNAcentral.